Unclassified non-coding RNA from Pongo abelii (Sumatran orangutan), 148 nucleotides. It matches the Rfam family "Metazoan signal recognition particle RNA". From Rfam's summary of the family: The signal recognition particle (SRP) is a universally conserved ribonucleoprotein. It is involved in the co-translational targeting of proteins to membranes. The record is from Ensembl. Lineage: Eukaryota; Metazoa; Chordata; Mammalia; Primates; Hominidae.
GCUGGGCAUGGUGGCGCACGCCUGUAAUCCCAGCUACUCGGGAGGCUGAGGCCGGAGAAUUGCUUGAACCCGGGAGGUGGAGGUUGCAGUGCACCAAGAUUGUACCACUGCACUCCAGCCUGGGUGACAGAGCGAGACUCCGUCUCAA